RNAcentral lists this long non-coding RNA (209 nucleotides) under Elaeis guineensis (African oil palm). RNAcentral's name for it is "long non-coding RNA (EGUI_LNC018544)". Lineage: Eukaryota; Viridiplantae; Streptophyta; Magnoliopsida; Arecales; Arecaceae. The record is from RNAcentral.
CCAAACCUAAGAAUCUUCUCUUUGAUCUCCUCCAACCUCAAAAUCACACAAAACCGUGGAUUAUCAUCCCAAACCCUUUAGCUCUCUCUCUCUCUCACAGCUUUCUCUCCUAAUCUCCACCAAAUUUCAAGCUCUAAUCUCAAAAAUCCGUGAGAAACACUCCUGAACCCUAUUCUUCUCUUUAUUUUCAUUCAUCUCUCAUCCCUCUC